AAUGUAGUAGUUUGAAUCCUUCAAUAGC
Molecule: small RNA, 28 nt
Filed under: Bombyx mori (domestic silkworm)
Lineage: Eukaryota; Metazoa; Arthropoda; Insecta; Lepidoptera; Bombycidae
Description: ovarian small RNA-10849
Source: RNAcentral